AGGGUUUGAUUAUGGCUCAGGACGAACGCUGGCGGCGCGCCUAACACAUGCAAGUCGAACGGUGAAGAGGAGCUUGCUCCUCGGAUCAGUGGCGGACGGGUGAGUAACACGUGAGCAACCUGGCUCUAAGAGGGGGACAACAGUUGGAAACGACUGCUAAUACCGCAUAACGUAUCGGGAUGGCAUCUUCCUGAUACCAAAGAUUUUAUCGCUUAGAGAUGGGCUCGCGUCUGAUUAGAUAGUUGGCGGGGUAACGGCCCACCAAGUCGACGAUCAGUAGCCGGACUGAGAGGUUGAACGGCCACAUUGGGACUGAGACACGGCCCAG
Molecule: ribosomal RNA, 328 nt
Filed under: uncultured bacterium
Lineage: Bacteria
Description: bacterial SSU rRNA
Rfam family: Bacterial small subunit ribosomal RNA
Source: RNAcentral